This 73-nucleotide transfer RNA is filed under the name Stegodyphus mimosarum. It matches the Rfam family "tRNA". From Rfam's summary of the family: Transfer RNA (tRNA) molecules are approximately 80 nucleotides in length. Their secondary structure includes four short double-helical elements and three loops (D, anti-codon, and T loops). Lineage: Eukaryota; Metazoa; Arthropoda; Arachnida; Araneae; Eresidae. The record is from Rfam by way of RNAcentral.
GCUUUUGUGGUGUAAUUAGAAGCACGUUUGGCUAGUAAUCAGAAGGUCCGGAGUUCGAAUCUGGGCAAAGACA